UUAAGCAUCAUUUGGGAAAUAUUUAAAAAAGAAAAAAAAACAAAGCUAAUAAUUCUGACAAUAAUUCUGACAUCAACUGUAUAUUUAGUAAACACAGAGCAUCCAAAAUAAGUGGUUUAUUAAAUUAUGUAUGUCAAAGCAUAAUAAUCCAUACUGACUCCUUACUGAACUUUUCAAUUGUUUGCUGUGAGUUAGAAGUAACAAUGUGAGGUGAACGGACUAUUCACCCUCGUCAGGUGAAGGGCCCCACCGUGACUUUGCAAAAAGGGAGCCAUUUCUCAGAUCAGGCAUGCUGUGUUAAACCUGUCACAUCCAGUUUUUGCUGAGAACAAGCCCCUUUAAACCUGACAACACUGCUGUUAAUCCAGUUAUAUCUGCUGAUUUGAGUGCAUGAGAAGUGAAAAACAGCAGAGUUAAAAACAUGGUUCUAUUUCAGUUCUUGUGCCAGCAUGAUGAGCAGCUAGAGUUGAAUUUGAUGCAAGAUUCAGCAUGUGAUAAAAAUUCCCAACCAUCCUCUUAUCUGAACUGACUUUAUCUACAUCAGAGAUCAUAGCAUUACGUAAGCUGCAAGACAGGGACCGAUCUCUUAUUGUGGAUUGUUUUCCCAGAUUCUAUUUCAGCUGUUGAUUGGGGCUUAAACCAAACAUAAAAACCAUUUGAGAUUCGGUUGUUAGGCCAGUGGAUGGGAAGAUGGGGGUUGGUUUUAAAGGGGGUUCUUUAAAAGAAGGAAUUUGGGGGAAGGGCUGGCUGUGAAGGGCCUUUUCUGAAUGACCCUACAUGGACAAACAGAGAAGACCCCUCCACACCAUCAUAAUAUUUCAGGCUGCAUAGUGACAGGACUGCAUUGGUGCUUAUGACUUGAUUGCACUUCUAUGUCCAUUUUUUUCUUCAAUCCAGGGGAUGAAAAACGAGGAAAGCAGUGAAAAAGAGUGCGAGAAGAGAGACAAAACUGUGCUGACAUGGGGCAUAACUUAAUUUUCACGGUGCCGAGACAGAUGGGAAAGCCCCUGCUGAUCCACUUAUACCAAAUCCAGGAGCGGCAUCUGGGAUCCCACCCGAGACUCCUGGAUCACCGCCAACACCAGCUCCACCACUCGUAGCGGGGCCUUCACCUCCACCACCCUCAACGGGACCAGCAGCUGCACCACCUUCAUUGGGACUGGCAACCUCUCCACCCUCACCAGCACUUCCAGCAUUGCCACCCUCACCAGCACUGCCAGCAUUACCACCCUCACCAGCACUGCCAGCAUUACCACCCUCAUCAUUUUUGGAAGUCUCAAGUGACCUAUAAACAUGCACUAAAUCUGUGCCAAGUCAGCUGUCUUCUCCGCACAUCAAAUUCAGCCAUGCCACAAAACAACACAGCUCUGAGGGAUUCUUUGUGCAGGGUCAAAGAAGAAUGUUGUCCAUGCAGGCAAAGUGGAGAUCCAUCAACGUGGAUCCUGUCCUGUAUGCUAAAGCUAUGUGCUGAGAACACCACUUUUUAAUGUUUCAGACACUUCCUCUCGACUCACUCAGGAAGGUGCAGGGGGACGUGAACUGCACUUAUCUCCUCUUUUCCUGUUUUUGGCCACUAUUCUUAUGCAGACUUUGUGCAGUUUUCUUCAGAUUAGCUAAGCUUUAAACCAAAAAAUUACAUUUAUUUAAGAUAUUUUUUCACAUCAAGGAGACGAUUGGUGAGGAGCAGUAUUAAAAACUCUAAAAUACACUUAGACCUUUUUUGCUUAGUCAGUUCUGUGAUUUAUGCACCAUUAAGACAUAUUCUUA
Molecule: long non-coding RNA, 1767 nt
Filed under: Danio rerio (zebrafish)
Lineage: Eukaryota; Metazoa; Chordata; Actinopteri; Cypriniformes; Danionidae
Description: si:ch211-158m24.13 (ENSDARG00000097932.2)
Source: RNAcentral